AUUGCCUCAGUAACGGCGAGUGAAGCGGCAAGAGCUCAAAUUUGAAAGCUGGCUCCUUCGGGGUCCGCAUUGUAAUUUGCAGAGGAUGCUUCGGGUGCGGCCCCUGUCUAAGUGCCCUGGAACGGGCCGUCAGAGAGGGUGAGAAUCCCGUCUGGGAUGGGGUGUCCGCGCCCGUGUGAAGCUCCUUCGACGAGUCGAGUUGUUUGGGAAUGCAGCUCUAAAUGGGUGGUAAAUUUCAUCUAAAGCUAAAUACUGGCCGGAGACCGAUAGCGCACAAGUAGAGUGAUCGAAAGAUGAAAAGCACUUUGAAAAGAGAGUUAAAAAGCACGUGAAAUUGUUGAAAGGGAAGCGCUUGCGACCAGACUCGCCUCCAGGGUUCAGCCGGCAUUCGUGCCGGUGUACUUCCCUGGGGGCGGGCCAGCGUCGGUUUGGGCGGCCGGUCAAAGGCUCCCGGAAUGUAGUGCCCUCCGGGGCACCUUAUAGCCGGGAGUGCAAUGCGGCCAGCCUGGACC
This 512-nucleotide ribosomal RNA is filed under the name Aspergillus flavus. Its description in RNAcentral is "LSU rRNA". It matches the Rfam family "Eukaryotic large subunit ribosomal RNA", at positions 74 to 590 of the family's 3401-position model. The record is from RNAcentral. Lineage: Eukaryota; Fungi; Ascomycota; Eurotiomycetes; Eurotiales; Aspergillaceae.